This 305-nucleotide ribosomal RNA is filed under the name uncultured bacterium. Its description in RNAcentral is "bacterial SSU rRNA". It matches the Rfam family "Bacterial small subunit ribosomal RNA", at positions 338 to 635 of the family's 1533-position model. The record is from RNAcentral.
CCUACGGGACGCAGCAGUUAGGAAUAUUCGUCAAUGGGGGAAACCCUGAACGAGCAAUGCCGCGUGAAGGAUGACGGUCCUAUGGAUUGUAAACUUCUGUUGUUAGGGAAGAACGACCUAAGUAGGAAAUGACUUAGGAGUGACGGUACCUUUCAAGAAAGCUCCGGCUAACUACGUGCCAGCAGCCGCGGUAAUACGUAGGGAGCGAGCGUUAUCCGGAUUUAUUGGGUGUAAGGGAGCGUAGACGGCAGUGCAAGUCUGAAGUGAAAGGCAAGGGCUCAACCCUUGGACUGCUUUGGAAACUG